UGGGUUAACAAUGGAGUUUUUCGUGUGGGAGACCGUGUGAAUUGAUGAUGGGAUGGAUGGAGUAGUUGAAAAGAUGAAGAAAUUCAAAUUUGACACGCUUUCCUGUGUAGCCACGCCGCGCGUGACCCUUGCUACGCCGCGCGUAAUACUAAUUGUAACGGUCAAGAACUUCUUUCAAACAGGCCACGCCGCGCGUAAUCACC
This 203-nucleotide long non-coding RNA is filed under the name Trifolium pratense (red clover). RNAcentral describes it as "long non-coding RNA (TPRA_LNC008657)". Lineage: Eukaryota; Viridiplantae; Streptophyta; Magnoliopsida; Fabales; Fabaceae. The record is from RNAcentral.